AAUGCCGCGUGUGUGAAGAAGGCCUGCGGGUUGUAAAGCACUUUCAGUGGGGAAGAAAAGCCGAGGGUUAAUACCCCUAGGUCUUGACGUUACCCACAGAAGAAGCACCGGCUAACUCCGUGCCAGCAACUUCGGUGACUGAGCGGGCUGGCAAGGCGCAUA
RNAcentral lists this ribosomal RNA (162 nucleotides) under uncultured bacterium. RNAcentral's name for it is "partial 16S ribosomal RNA". It matches the Rfam family "Bacterial small subunit ribosomal RNA", at positions 393 to 539 of the family's 1533-position model. The record is from RNAcentral.